GAUGAACGCUGGCGGCGUGCCUAAUACAUGCAAGUCGAGCGAACAGACGAGGAGCUUGCUCCUCUGACGUUAGCGGCGGACGGGUGAGUAACACGUGGAUAACCUACCUAUAAGACUGGGAUAACUUCGGGAAACCGGAGCUAAUACCGGAUAAUAUAUUGAACCGCAUGGUUCAAUAGUGAAAGACGGUUUUGCUGUCACUUAUAGCUGGAUCCGCGCCGCAUUAGCUAGUUGGUAAGGUAACGGCUUACCAAGGCAACGAUGCGUAGCCGACCUGAGAGGGUGAUCGGCCACACUGGAACUGAGACACGGACCAGACUCCUACGGGAGGCAGCAGUAGGGAAUCUUCCGCAAUGGGCGAAAGCCUGACGGAGCAACGCCGCGUGAGUGAUGAAGGUCUUCGGAUCGUAAAACUCUGUUAUUAGGGAAGAACAAAUGUGUAAGUAACUAUGCACGUCUUGACGGUACCUAAUCAGAAAGCCACGGCUAACUACGUG
Molecule: ribosomal RNA, 497 nt
Filed under: uncultured bacterium
Lineage: Bacteria
Description: partial 16S ribosomal RNA
Rfam family: Bacterial small subunit ribosomal RNA
Source: RNAcentral